GACUCGGUGGCGAAUGGCCUGCAUCCACUAUUCAUGUGAGGACUAUUUGCUGAUUUGAGCAUGGAAGUCGCCUGUUCGAAUCAGGCCCGAGUCA
Molecule: non-coding RNA, 94 nt
Organism: Mycena leptocephala
Lineage: Eukaryota; Fungi; Basidiomycota; Agaricomycetes; Agaricales; Mycenaceae
Source: the annotation of a GenBank genome assembly